Molecule: long non-coding RNA, 213 nt
Filed under: Setaria viridis
Lineage: Eukaryota; Viridiplantae; Streptophyta; Magnoliopsida; Poales; Poaceae
Description: long non-coding RNA (SVIR_LNC002784)
Source: RNAcentral
AGAAUGAUGAGCUCACAUUGGCCGUCGGUAAUCCCGAGCACCCAGGAUGUUGCCGAGGGUUCGGGGUCAUUCCGUGGAAGUUUGCUUUUCGAGGCGAUAGGGUAUCGUACAGAAGACGCAAGCGAAGAAAGGAAUAGAUCGAUGAGAGCUGGCGGCAGAUGCUAGAAUCCAAAGUGCAGUCACAAGAAGAAAGAAUGUUGGAGGAAAUUAAUC